UUGACCUCGGAUCAGGUAGGGAUACCCGCUGAACUUAAGCAUAUCAAUAAGCGGAGGAAAAGAAACCAACAGGGAUUACCUCAGUAACGGCGAGUGAAGCGGUAACAGCUCAAAUUUGAAAGCUGGCUCUUUUAGGGUCCGCGUUGUAAUUUGUAGAAGAUGCUUCGGGUGUAGCUCCGGUCUAAGUUCCUUGGAACAGGACGUCAUAGAGGGUGAGAAUCCCGUAUGUGACUGGGUGCUUUCGCUCAUGUGAAGCUCUUUCGACGAGUCGAGUUGUUUGGGAAUGCAGCUCAAAAUGGGUGGUAAAUUUCAUCUAAAGCUAAAUAUUGGCCAGAGACCGAUAGCGCACAAGUAGAGUGAUCGAAAGAUGAAAAGCACUUUGGAAAGAGAGUUAAACAGUACGUGAAAUUGUUGAAAGGGAAGCGCUUGCAACCAGACUUGCGCGCUGAUGAUCAUCCGGGCUUCUGUCCGGUGCACUCGUCUGCGCUCAGGCCAGCAUCGGUUUCGGUGGUGGGAUAAAGGCCUUGGGAAUGUAGCUCCUCUCGGGGAGUGUUAUAGCCCUCGGUGCAAUGC
This 573-nucleotide ribosomal RNA is filed under the name Protoventuria alpina. Its description in RNAcentral is "eukaryotic LSU rRNA". It matches the Rfam family "Eukaryotic large subunit ribosomal RNA", at positions 1 to 576 of the family's 3401-position model. Lineage: Eukaryota; Fungi; Ascomycota; Dothideomycetes; Venturiales; Venturiaceae. The record is from RNAcentral.